This 567-nucleotide long non-coding RNA is filed under the name Mytilus galloprovincialis (Mediterranean mussel). Lineage: Eukaryota; Metazoa; Mollusca; Bivalvia; Mytilida; Mytilidae. The record is from RNAcentral.
AAUAUAGUUGACCUAUGGCAUAUAGUAUUAGAUAAAAAGACCAAACUCAAAAACUUAACUUUGACCACUGAACUAUGAAAAUGAGGUCAAGGUCACAUGACAUCUGCCCGCUAGACAUGUACACCUUACAAUCAUUCCAUACAACAAAUAUAGUAGACCUAUUGCAUAUAGUAUGAGAAAAACAGACCAAAACACAAAAAUUUAACUUUAACCACUGAACCAUGAAAAUGAGGUCAAGGUCAGAUGACACCUGCCAGUUGGACAUGUACACCUUACAGUCCUUCCAUACACGGAAUAUACUAGCCCUAUUGCUUAUAGUAUCUGCGAUAUGGACUUGACCACCAAAACUUAACCUUGAUCACUGAUCCAUGAAAUGAGGUCGAGGUCAAGUGAAAACUGUCUGACAGACAUGAGGACCUUGCAAGGUACGCACAUAUCAAAUAUAGUUAUCCUAUUACUUAUAAUAAGAGAGAAUUCAACAUUACAAAAAAUUUGAACUUUUUUUUCAAGUGGUCACUGAACCAUGAAAAUGAGGUCAAGGGCAUUGGACAUGUGACUGACAGAAAC